RNAcentral lists this ribosomal RNA (1542 nucleotides) under Escherichia coli. RNAcentral describes it as "bacterial SSU rRNA". It matches the Rfam family "Bacterial small subunit ribosomal RNA". The record is from RNAcentral. Lineage: Bacteria; Pseudomonadati; Pseudomonadota; Gammaproteobacteria; Enterobacterales; Enterobacteriaceae.
AAAUUGAAGAGUUUGAUCAUGGCUCAGAUUGAACGCUGGCGGCAGGCCUAACACAUGCAAGUCGAACGGUAACAGGAAACAGCUUGCUGUUUCGCUGACGAGUGGCGGACGGGUGAGUAAUGUCUGGGAAACUGCCUGAUGGAGGGGGAUAACUACUGGAAACGGUAGCUAAUACCGCAUAACGUCGCAAGACCAAAGAGGGGGACCUUCGGGCCUCUUGCCAUCGGAUGUGCCCAGAUGGGAUUAGCUAGUAGGUGGGGUAACGGCUCACCUAGGCGACGAUCCCUAGCUGGUCUGAGAGGAUGACCAGCCACACUGGAACUGAGACACGGUCCAGACUCCUACGGGAGGCAGCAGUGGGGAAUAUUGCACAAUGGGCGCAAGCCUGAUGCAGCCAUGCCGCGUGUAUGAAGAAGGCCUUCGGGUUGUAAAGUACUUUCAGCGGGGAGGAAGAGAGUAAAGUUAAUACCUUUGCUCAUUGACGUUACCCGCAGAAGAAGCACCGGCUAACUCCGUGCCAGCAGCCGCGGUAAUACGGAGGGUGCAAGCGUUAAUCGGAAUUACUGGGCGUAAAGCGCACGCAGGCGGUUUGUUAAGUCAGAUGUGAAAUCCCCGGGCUCAACCUGGGAACUGCAUCUGAUACUGGCAAGCUUGAGUCUCGUAGAGGGGGGUAGAAUUCCAGGUGUAGCGGUGAAAUGCGUAGAGAUCUGGAGGAAUACCGGUGGCGAAGGCGGCCCCCUGGACGAAGACUGACGCUCAGGUGCGAAAGCGUGGGGAGCAAACAGGAUUAGAUACCCUGGUAGUCCACGCCGUAAACGAUGUCGACUUGGAGGUUGUGCCCUUGAGGCGUGGCUUCCGGAGCUAACGCGUUAAGUCGACCGCCUGGGGAGUACGGCCGCAAGGUUAAAACUCAAAUGAAUUGACGGGGGCCCGCACAAGCGGUGGAGCAUGUGGUUUAAUUCGAUGCAACGCGAAGAACCUUACCUGGUCUUGACAUCCACGGAAGUUUUCAGAGAUGAGAAUGUGCCUUCGGGAACCGUGAGACAGGUGCUGCAUGGCUGUCGUCAGCUCGUGUUGUGAAAUGUUGGGUUAAGUCCCGCAACGAGCGCAACCCUUAUCCUUUGUUGCCAGCGGUCCGGCCGGGAACUCAAAGGAGACUGCCAGUGAUAAACUGGAGGAAGGUGGGGAUGACGUCAAGUCAUCAUGGCCCUUACGACCAGGGCUACACACGUGCUACAAUGGCGCAUACAAAGAGAAGCGACCUCGCGAGAGCAAGCGGACCUCAUAAAGUGCGUCGUAGUCCGGAUUGGAGUCUGCAACUCGACUCCAUGAAGUCGGAAUCGCUAGUAAUCGUGGAUCAGAAUGCCACGGUGAAUACGUUCCCGGGCCUUGUACACACCGCCCGUCACACCAUGGGAGUGGGUUGCAAAAGAAGUAGGUAGCUUAACCUUCGGGAGGGCGCUUACCACUUUGUGAUUCAUGACUGGGGUGAAGUCGUAACAAGGUAACCGUAGGGGAACCUGCGGUUGGAUCACCUCCUUA